Molecule: ribosomal RNA, 584 nt
Filed under: uncultured bacterium
Lineage: Bacteria
Description: bacterial SSU rRNA
Rfam family: Bacterial small subunit ribosomal RNA
Source: RNAcentral
CCUACGGGAGGCAGCAGUGGGGAAUUUUGGACAAUGGGCGCAAGCCUGAUCCAGCCAUGCCGCGUGCGGGAAGAAGGCCUUCGGGUUGUAAACCGCUUUUGUCAGGGAAGAAAAGGUUCUGGCUAAUACCUGGGACUCAUGACGGUACCUGAAGAAUAAGCACCGGCUAACUACGUGCCAGCAGCCGCGGUAAUACGUAGGGUGCAAGCGUUAAUCGGAAUUACUGGGCGUAAAGCGUGCGCAGGCGGUUAUGCAAGACAGAGGUGAAAUCCCCGGGCUCAACCUGGGAACUGCCUUUGUGACUGCAUAGCUAGAGUACGGUAGAGGGGGAUGGAAUUCCGCGUGUAGCAGUGAAAUGCGUAGAUAUGCGGAGGAACACCGAUGGCGAAGGCAAUCCCCUGGACCUGUACUGACGCUCAUGCACGAAAGCGUGGGGAGCAAACAGGAUUAGAUACCCUGGUAGUCCACGCCCUAAACGAUGUCAACUGGUUGUUGGGAGGGUUUCUUCUCAGUAACGUAGCUAACGCGUGAAGUUGACCGCCUGGGGAGUACGGCCGCAGGUUGAAACUCAAGGAAAUUGACGG